GCUACGGGUGGCUGCAGUGGGGAAUAUUGGACAAUGGGGGCAACCCUGAUCCAGCCAUGCCGCGUGUGUGAAGAAGGCCCUCGGGUUGUAAAGCACUUUCAGUGAGGAAGAACGCCUGGUGGUUAAUACCCAUCAGGAAAGACAUCACUCACAGAAGAAGCACCGGCUAACUCCGUGCCAGCAGCCGCGGUAAUACGGAGGGUGCGAGCGUUAAUCGGAAUUACUGGGCGUAAAGCGCGCGUAGGUGGCUUGAUAAGCCGGUUGUGAAAGCCCCGGGCUCAACCUGGGAACGGCAUCCGGAACUGUCCAGCUAGAGUGCAGGAGAGGAAGGUAGAAUUCCCGGUGUAGCGGUGAAAUGCGUAGAGAUCGGGAGGAAUACCAGUGGCGAAGGAGGCCUUCUGGACUGACACUGACACUGAGGUGCGAAAGCGUGGGUAGCAAACAGGAUUAGCUACCCCGGUAGUC
Molecule: ribosomal RNA, 465 nt
Filed under: Vreelandella stevensii
Lineage: Bacteria; Pseudomonadati; Pseudomonadota; Gammaproteobacteria; Oceanospirillales; Halomonadaceae
Description: partial 16S ribosomal RNA
Rfam family: Bacterial small subunit ribosomal RNA
Source: RNAcentral